AUCAGGAUCCAACAAUGGGAAAAACAUAGUAUUUGUAGUUCCACUAUAGGAGAAGCUUUCUACUGAACCACUUUCCUAUGAUUCAGUAGAGUUCGCCAAGAUGCCACAGUCAAAAUGCAUUACAUGUGGCAGUCAAAUGCCUUUGCAGCUGUUGCCGUUGCAUGUGGAGGAAUGCAAUGGCAUAUUGACUGUAAGCUGUAUUACAACAUGUCUCUCAUUUCUCUUUUUUAGUUUGUUCAAAUGACUGUUUAAAAGUAUUAAGUGUUUGUUUAUUAUAUAUAUAUAUAUAUAUAUAUAUAUAUAUAUAUAUAUAUAUUUAUAUAUAUAUAUAUUUUAUUUUAUUUUAUUUAUUUAGGAGAGUGAAUCUGGGACAUGUCUUGAUGAAGAUUGUUCAGUUCUUGAGCAGCCAGUCCCAUCUACCAUAGGCAUGGAUGAAUCCUUGGCGGUCUGCCCAAUCUGUCUUGCAUCGUACCCAGCUGAUGUUCUCCCAUCUCAUGCAAGCACAUGUGGUGACAGAAUGAACUGUGCUCAACCCAGCAUAGCAGCCAGUACCCCAAGGGGAGAAGAAUUGCCAGGACUCUCAGUUCCACAAUCGUCAGUUCGACAAUCGUCAGCAGCUUCAACGUGGACCACUGAAGUCGACCCCCAAAAAGCAUGCCAGUUGUUCAGAGAAGAUUUACUCAACAGUUACUCUGAAAGUCCACGCCUCUCUCUAUCACUCGACAUGUUUGAUGCAGAAGAAGAACGGGACAGUGCAUUCAUUUCAUUCUAUAAGCAGAAUAAUGUGAACUGAGUGUGUGUGUCAUCUAUGUUUUCAUGUUAAAACUUUUUUAAUUGCAGUACUUUUUGUAGCCUAUUCAUUGGACACUAAUGUCAUCAAAUGAGGGAAUAGUAUUGACAUGUAAACUCUACUUUAAAUAAAUGAUAUGUUCUAACUUAAUCUAAAUGAACCUCCAAAGACAGAUUUGGGUCUAACUGUGAUCAAGCGUGUUUUAAAACAUAAUGCUCAAUGUUUCUUGACUUUUUUUUUUUUUUAUUAAGGCUCUGCUGCUCCUACAACCCUUUUUGAGGGGGAAAAAGAACAUCGGGUUCCCUCUGCAGCUGCUGUCCUGCGAGAAAGCAACCUAUUUGAGAUGGCAGGUCGUAUGAUUGGUCAUUCUUUCCUGCAUGUUGGGUUCAGCUUCUCUGGACUCAAUUUGCCUGUGGUGACCCUAUUGACUGGUGAGUGCAUCGACACUGCAGCAUCAGCUAUGACACUGGAGGACUGUCCUGAUAUUGACCAUCGUGAAACAAUUGGUUUGCUGAAGAAUGCUGAACUUACUGCAGAAGAAAACACCAAAGUGACUGAUCUUUGCCUGUCCUGGGAUCUUCCAUUUCCAUCCUCCACCAAUCGUCUCUGGCUGUUCCAGGAACUGCUUUCACAUGCAGUACUUCACCGUGUUAAACAGCCAAUUAAACAAAUACGGAAAGGCCUUAAACAAACAGGAAUCUGGCCACUUCUUUCAGAUAGGCCAGAUGUACACCCCUUAAUUUUCCCAAGGGAGUGAGGAGCUUAA
Long non-coding RNA from Sander lucioperca (pikeperch), 1556 nucleotides. RefSeq lists it as uncharacterized. The transcript is spliced from 6 exons. The record is from RefSeq and is a predicted model, not a curated record. Lineage: Eukaryota; Metazoa; Chordata; Actinopteri; Perciformes; Percidae.